UACGUAGGGGGCAAGCGUUGUCCGGAAUCAUUGGGCGUAAAGAGCGUGUAGGCGGUUCGGUAAGUCGGCUGUGAAAGUCCAGGGCUCAACCCUGGGAUGCCGGUCGAUACUGUCGGACUAGAGUUCGGAAGAGGCGAGUGGAAUUCCCGGUGUAGCGGUGAAAUGCGCAGAUAUCGGGAGGAACACCUAUGGCGAAGGCAGCUCGCUGGGACGUUACUGACGCUGAGACGCGAAAGCGUGGGGAGCAAACAGG
RNAcentral lists this ribosomal RNA (253 nucleotides) under uncultured bacterium. RNAcentral describes it as "partial 16S ribosomal RNA". It matches the Rfam family "Bacterial small subunit ribosomal RNA", at positions 524 to 776 of the family's 1533-position model. The record is from RNAcentral.